Rosa rugosa (rugosa rose) is the source of this 5422-nucleotide long non-coding RNA. RefSeq lists it as uncharacterized. The record is from RefSeq and is a predicted model, not a curated record. Lineage: Eukaryota; Viridiplantae; Streptophyta; Magnoliopsida; Rosales; Rosaceae. The transcript is spliced from 2 exons.
CCUCCACUUUCUCACAAUUCUCACCCUCUCUAACUCUCUCUCAGUUUCUCCGACCCAUUUCUGCAUUUCUUUUUUGUGCCCUAUGAUAUCUGCUUGGGUCAUGAAUAAGGUUGAUGACGGGUCGUCUCCAAUCGGGUCGGAGUCUUAUCGGACUCCGUCUCCGUUUAAUCGGAGCAAUUCGUCUAUUUGCUUCCGACUGCGCAGAGCUGCUGCCCCUGCCCUAAAAUCCCAACCCAGAUUUCUCGAUGACGUGGCCGUCAAUCUCAGUAGGGUUUUCGUACUCUCUGUCCAAGAUUCCGAGUUUGUUCUCGAGGCCCUCAGGACAGAACGCGAAAAAUUCGCAAAAGAAUUGCAACGCCAGAAGAUCCGUACUCUAAUGUCCAUGCGGUGAUCUUCUGGCUUACAUUUUCUAUUUUUGAUUUUUUUUCUUUCUAUUUCUUAAUCCUUCUUUGUGUUUGGGGUAUGUGUUGGGUAUGUGUUUUUGCAUGUUAGGUUACUAACCCAACAACGAUCCAAUUGAACAGGUAAGAAUCGAAAUUACAAUUACCAAUUUAAGUGUUCUUAUUUAGUUAAUUGCCGGUACUCCUGUAGGUAUUGGCACCAUUGAGUGCCAGAAAAAACAUAGUUACAUAAUAACAUGCUUUUGGGGCUUUAAGAGAUGUUGGAUUCAAUUUGCUGAGAUAUCCAAAGAUAAAGUUUCAAUAUUUUACUAAUCUUCUGCUAUAGAUUGUUCAAAUAGAUUGCUCUUGCAUUGGCAUCUUGAGAAAUCUGAGAGACAAUGUGCUCUAACGGGGAAUAGUUUCAAUAUUAUCUAUUAGUAGUUUAGUAUUAUUGAUCUUCAUUAUGUGUUUAUUGCUGCGAGGUAUUCAUUGGAUUCGUUUAUUGCCUGUUGUUUUCGUUUAAUUAUGAUUGCAUACUUGCUAUAUCACACUAUCUCUGUCUGUUCCUUAUUCCCUUGUGUAGAACUCAUGGAAUCAGUGGGGUUUGUUCAUUGUUCACUUUUCUCGUUAGUUUGUUGUCAAUGUGGCAGGCAUAUGGCAGGUUCUUGGAAGAGCCAUAUUCAUUCAAUGGUAGGUACAAGUGGAUAUGUGGAACAAGAACUUCUCUUGGGGACACAAUAAGGAGAAAAGAAAGAUUGAUCUUGUUUAAUGGAAUUCCGUUUGCAGACCAAAUUGUCAUGUUGGUUUAUGCUAGGCCUAAAGAAUACUACUAUGAUGAAGCAGGCUUAGUAUGCUGGGUCUAGUUGGGUAGGCCUUUGCAAAAUUAAAAGGCCUCUAGGAUCAACUUUUAAACGGGAAGUGUACGAAAAAGCAGAGGCAUUCUUGCCUUUACAGAUCUGAAUUUCUAUAAGCUCAAGUACCUAGUGUUUGGAUUCAUUACUAAGCCUUUACCUGGAGGCCUUAAAUGGAUAGGUGAGAGUUGGAGGAUAAUUACUUUAUUUGACAGGUAUAGGUGCCUUUAUCUCAAUUUGCCACUACUAUAAAUCAAUAUUUCUGAGUUUCUGGCACAAUGCUAGCUGGGAUUUACAAAUGAUUCAGGAGCUCCUCUCUGAUGACAUCAUUGUAAAAUAUUGGGUAUUGAAUGCUGGUGGCCCAACUAGAGUUUACUUGGGGUUUAUCUUCUAAGGGUAGUUUCCGUAAGUUAAGCCUACAAAUGUCCUGUUAUAAAUGUGCUGUAUUGGAAAUGCUAUUUUAUUUGGCAUUUGCAGCUUCACCCCAAGUUUAAAACUUUCUCUACCAAUAUAGAUUGUUGAAUUUUAAAGCUAGAAUGCAAAGAGGGUUGGCUUGUGAUGCUAUUUGUCUCAGAUGCUGCUCCAACUGAAUCGCUCGAUCAUCUUUUAAAGAGCUGCAGUGUGUCUAUGAGAACUAGGGAUUUCCAUGGUGAAAAAUGAUUUUACUAGAUUCACGUCUCUUGAUUUUUGGGAUGGGUUAUAUCACAAUUUCAAGUCCAAGUCUACUGAGAAGUAUGAAUUCCUUUGUAUUGUUUAUUUCCUGCAGUUUCUGGCAUAUAUGGGAGUGGCGUUGCAAGAUCAUUUUUGAGCCGGGUUCCACCACCCUUCUUGGUGUAAUCAUUUGAGUUACCAAUAUGCUUCUUCUUAGAUGGUGGCCUUUAAAGUGACUUGGGUCUUAUGUUUGCCGGUGGUAGCCUUAGACAUGAUUCUGGUGUUUGGCUUCAACGUUUUCCUGUGAAUUUAGGCCUUUGUCCCUUAAACUUAAUAUCAGUUCAAUUGAAUUCUAAAAAAAAAAAGGUUCUUGAAGUAGGUAAAUGCCGUUUAUAUAAGGUUCUUAUUUGGCUUUGGAGGUAGAGUUGAUUCUUGCACUGUUGUGAAUCUGCUUUUGAGUCCCUGGAUUAUAUUCACUCUCUUUCAGUAAAGCCACAUACCCCUUUCUCUUGAAAACCAAGGACAGGAACUAAUCGCAUGGGUACUUAAGAACAUACACUUACGGCUUGGAAGGUGGUUAACAGUUUCUGGUUGGACCAAUCUUGUGCAAUCUCAAGGCGUUAAUGAGUAGGGAUUAGAUCAUGUAAUCAUGUUCUAUUUUAGAAAGAAAAACAGCGAAUGUCUGGCUAUUUCAGGCCAUAGCCUUGGGGUAUCCAGUUUUUGCCUCUCCAUUUGAGUUUAAUUUUUUUUUUGUUUUUGUUUUUGUUUUUUUUUUUUGCUUUGACCUUCGAGCCAAUUAUCCGGCACAAAGGGGAUUAUUUAGAGUGAGCAAGUUUCUUUUUUUUUGGGUCAAAGAUAUUCAUUGAAAAGAGGGCAAACAGCCCAGCCAUACAACAACAGAAAGCCAAAAGGCUAAACUGAAGAGAAACAGAGCUCUCAUAGUCAAAGCCACAGGAGGCAAGACAAGAGGAACUACGAAUAGACGCAACAAACAAAACAAGCCUAAAGAAAAGCAAGACAUAAAGGAAAGCAAGAACGCAAAUUAAAGGAAGACAUCAGAAGCUUCGUCAGACAGCCAACGCAGCAGCGUCCCUCAAGCAGGGAGCACAUGUCUUGGGGCACCUGGAACUCCAAAAUUGCAGCUUGUAAGGAGACCCCUACGCCAAAGCCCGAUCAAAAUAACCCUGAAAAUGGAAAAACAGAAGAAAAAAGAGGAUCUAACCACAGAUAUAUCCUCUUCUCCACAGUACAAAUUUGCACCAUAACAUGAGAUUUGCAGCCACAACUUUGAUAACAAAUCUAGGCAAACGAAACCCAGAUCAGGAGGAGCCAAGAGGCCCCAAAAAUAGAACAUAGAAGUAGGUGGUGCAUGCACCCGAGCCAAGGCUCUACCUAUCUUCCGAUUGAGACGCGAGAAAUCGCGUUUGAGAGAAGCCACUGCAACAACCAAGCCAUGGUACCGAUUUGAAAUGGAAUAGAAGAAAUCCAGGGAACAAGAUCUGGAGAUGAGAGAUGGUGGGUAAAAGAAAGUGAUGGGUGGUGAGGUAGAGCAAAUUUGGGGUUAAAGUGCAGAAAGAAAAUUGGGGCAAGAUGGAAGGAGAAGGGAGGGAGACCGAAGGAGAAAAAAAGAGAAGAAACAAGAGGCAGAAGCCCCAGAUCUGAGACAUAGCUCAGGGAAACUGAGACAUAGCUCAGGGAAGCACCCAUAAAGGGUGAGCAGUGCCACCGACUCUCAAGGAAGAAAAGCUCUCCCAGCGCUAACUUGAGCUUUUUGUCUCGUAAAGUUUCUUUGUUAAUUAAGAUAUUUUCACAAACAGUGUAUGAAGUAUGGAUGAUUCUACACUUUGGUGUAUGAACUUUGAAAACUAUCAAAUUGCUGUAUGAACUUUGCAUUUCAACAUCAUUUUGGUAUAUCAAGUUAACACCGUUAAGUUUUGCCGUUAAAUUGGACGAUAAAAUAAAAGAUACGUCCAUGCAAAACAAUCCCAAAUAAAAACUAGCCGUUCAAUAAUUUUUUGAAAGAAUCUAGUAUUUCAUUUUGAUCAUUGAUUUUUCUACUAACACUUGUUAGCUGGUCUUCUUCAUUUUUUGGAAGAUUCUUGAUAUAAUAGUUUUUUUUUUCUUUUUGUUAAACGCUAGAUAGUUCUUUUAAUAAGUUCUGAUGUUUUUCAUCAGAAAGUUUUAAUAGAGAAUUUGAUUUCUCUAUUAUUAUUUCAGACAUUGUUCCCAUGAGGGAUUCUCUUUGAGGCUUUAAGCAGGCUCUGAUACUAACUUAGUCGGAUCUAACCAAUGCUCAAUUAAUCAAGAGGUUUUUGUUCCUCUUCAAAAGUUUCUUUAAUAAUUUUGAUAUAUUCUUCAACUUUGUAGAUUCUUUUUUGAAUCCGGAAAAUAAUAUUUCAAUUUUUGGGAGUUUUUCUAUCAAGCCUUUAUCUAAAAUCUUUUAGAGUUUUUAACCUUUUUCUUUCUUCUGACAAUUCUUGGCUUGUUUCUUUGCAAAUAGUAAGCAGCUCUUUUCUAGUAAGGAUAGAAAUUAUGAAUAUUAAAACUUAACUAUUUACCUUCGAGUAUUGAGGAUAAAUCUAAAACUGCAAUAUGUCAAAUAAACAAAUUCAGGAGUAUGGGCCCAUUACGCUCUGUCAAAUUUUUUUUUUUGGUAACUGUUCUAGGGGUUAUUUAACAGAAAAGUUAACGGUGUACACUAAAGUGAAAGAUCUGAGUAAACUUGGUAUACCAUUAUGAUAGUUAUGAAAGUUGGUAUACUGAAGUGUAGAAUUGUCAAUAGUUGGUGCAUGGUUUGUGAUGUUUUCCCUUGUUAAUUUUAUCCGUUGUGGAUGCAAGUAAGGUAACAGGAAGCUUUCAAGUUUUUACGCCCCCGUGCUCCUUCGUUGGAUUGGGGUAAGCUAACUUGGUCUAAAUACAUUCCUCCGUUGUUGGCUGAUUUCAGGCAGCGGAAGACUCCUCGCAUCAUUAAAGUUAAUUGGCAUCCUCCGUUAUUUGGUUGAAUCAAGAUAAACACAGAUGGAGCAUGGAAAAGUGACUUGGGAAAAGUAGAUUAUGGUGGCUUGUUUUGGGACUAUAAAGGUGUUGUUUUGGGUGCUUUUUGCUCCAAUUUGGAUAUGCCUAGUUCUGUUGCAGCGGAGUUCAUGGCGGUUAUUAAAGCAAUAGAAUUAGCAUGGGUCCGAGAUUGGAAAUUCAUAUGGUUGGAAGUGGACUCUACACUUGUUCUCAAUUUUUUUCAAUCUCCUCAUCUUGUACCUUGACAACUUCAUGUGGAAUGGGGUAAUUGUUUGCAUCAUAUUUCUCAAAUGCAAUUUCAUUCUACUCAUAUAUUUCAUGAAGGGAAUCAAGCCGUAGAUUCACUAGCAAAUUUUGGAACUACUUCUCAGGUUUAGUUUGGCCGGAUUUGGCUACGCCUAUCAUUCAUAGUUUUUGUAAUCGGGACCGAAUGGGUCUUCCUAAUUUCCGUUUCUGUUGACGUUGUCUAGAGGUUUGGUACCCCCUCUCUGUAUUUAUUUUUUAUUCAAUAACUUUUCCUCGUUU